This 886-nucleotide unclassified non-coding RNA is filed under the name Hevea brasiliensis (rubber tree). Lineage: Eukaryota; Viridiplantae; Streptophyta; Magnoliopsida; Malpighiales; Euphorbiaceae. The record is from RNAcentral.
UUCUCAAAUCAAUUGUCAAUCAUACAAAAAGAUCUAUCCAAAAUACCUAGAAGACAAUAUUUAUAGAUUAUUUGUAAUCCUAUAUUAGGAUUUGAAAUCCUAAAUAGAAAAUAUGAAGCAAAUGUCAAUUGGGAAUCCUAAACCAAUAUAACUCCCUAAAUAAAUAAAGUAUUACUUGUUAUAUCUUUUCCUAAAAUAUUUAGUCAUCAAAUCUCUAGAAGAUCAUGCAUUAUUCUCCUUUGGUUGAAAAUAGCUUGACUUUAGAGAGUUGAACCGCAAAUAAGAAUCAAAGAGAGAAGGAUCCAAAGCUUGAAAUUUCCCUUCAAUAAUCCAAGUGGCAUCAGAGUUGGAAUGACCAUGGCAUUUGACAAGAAAUUUGCAGAAACCAAUUUGAGAGAAAGUAACAAAUCAUCUAGCACGGUUUCAAUAACAUCUUUCAGUCGAGGAAGAGAAAACCACUUUGGAACAUGUUGACCUGCAGAAACACUAGAAGACAAAGUACCUACAAAAACACUAGAAGGCAAUGUAGAAGGCUCAAAAGUGUUUCGAUAAGGUGACAAAUUUGCCACAUUGAAAUUAGGACUAAUCUUCGUAUGAUUAAGUCAAGUAAAUAUGCAUUAAAUCUAAAUUUUUGCAAAAUGGAGAUUGGGCCAGUGGCUUCAGCAUGCAAUUUCUUUAAGGAAUUUUUAGGAUAUCUUUUAGAGUAAACUCGAACCAUGACAUAGUCACCAACCUUGAAUUCUUUAUUCUUACGCACAUUAACAGUAAGUUUACAACUUUCAUUACUUAAAUCCUUUGCCUAAUCUUAGCAUGCAAAUCAUGAAUAUGUUGGGCAAAAGAUUCAAUAGGAUAUGAAAUGCAAGUAUGUGGAGAAAAAGGAACAAUG